AUAAAGAAUGGUCUCCGCCACCCU
Molecule: non-coding RNA, 24 nt
Filed under: Arabidopsis thaliana (thale cress)
Lineage: Eukaryota; Viridiplantae; Streptophyta; Magnoliopsida; Brassicales; Brassicaceae
Source: RNAcentral